UACGUAGGUGGCAAGCGUUGUCCGGAUUCACUGGGUGUAAAGGGCGUGUAGCCGGGUUGACAAGUCAGAUGUGAAAUCCUGCGGCUUAACCGCAGAACUGCAUUUGAAACUGUUGAUCUUGAGUACUGGAGAGGCAGACGGAAUUCCUAGUGUAGCGGUGAAAUGCGUAGAUAUUAGGAGGAACACCAGUGGCGAAGGCGGUCUGCUGGACAGCAACUGACGGUGAGGCGCGAAAGCGUGGGGAGCAAACAGG
RNAcentral lists this ribosomal RNA (253 nucleotides) under uncultured bacterium. RNAcentral describes it as "partial 16S ribosomal RNA". It matches the Rfam family "Bacterial small subunit ribosomal RNA", at positions 524 to 776 of the family's 1533-position model. The record is from RNAcentral.